GAUGGAUAAAGGGUGUUCCUCC
RNAcentral lists this non-coding RNA (22 nucleotides) under Arabidopsis thaliana (thale cress). Lineage: Eukaryota; Viridiplantae; Streptophyta; Magnoliopsida; Brassicales; Brassicaceae. The record is from RNAcentral.